GACGAACGCUGGCGGCGUGCUUAACACAUGCAAGUCGAACGGUGAAGGGACCGGUUUUUGCUGGUUCUGGAUGAGUGGCGAACGGGUGAGUAACACGUGAGUAACCUGCCCCCUUCUUCUGGAUAACCGCAUGAAAGUGUGGCUAAUACGGGAUAUUCUGCGCCUGCUGCAUGGUGGGUGUGGGAAAGAUAUUGUUUCGGUGGGGGAUGGGCUCGCGGCCUAUCAGCUUGUUGGUGGGGUGAUGGCCUACCAAGGCGGUGACGGGUAGCCGGCCUGAGAGGGUGGACGGUCACACUGGGACUGAGACACGGCCCAGACUCCUACGGGAGGCAGCAGUGGGGAAUAUUGCACAACGGGCGCAAGCCUGAUGCAGCGACGCCGCGUGAGGGAUGGAGGCCUUCGGGUUGUAAACCUCUUUCGCCAGUGAAGCAGGCCUGUCCCUUUUGUGGGUGGGUUGACGGUAGCUGGAUAAGAAGCGCCGGCUAACUACGUG
This 493-nucleotide ribosomal RNA is filed under the name uncultured bacterium. RNAcentral's name for it is "partial 16S ribosomal RNA". It matches the Rfam family "Bacterial small subunit ribosomal RNA", at positions 28 to 507 of the family's 1533-position model. The record is from RNAcentral.